Molecule: unclassified non-coding RNA, 336 nt
Filed under: uncultured Acaulosporaceae
Lineage: Eukaryota; Fungi; Glomeromycota; Glomeromycetes; Diversisporales; Acaulosporaceae
Also listed under: 1 other name
Description: sequence contains 18S rRNA gene
Source: RNAcentral
CCCAACUAUCCCUAUUAAUCAUUACGGUGAUCCUAGAAACCAACAAAAUAAAACCAUGCCAUCCUAUUUUAUUAUUCCAUGCUAAUGUAUUCAGGUACUAGCCUACUUUGAGCACUCUAAUUUUUUCAAGGUAAUAGUCCUGCUUCCCCAACGCACCAAAUGAAUGGCAUACUGGUUAUUCAGAAGGUAAGAACCCAUCACACCAGUACAGAUAGUGAAGUCCGACCGAUGGACAGAUUCUGAAAUUCAACUACGAGCUUUUUAACUGCAACAACUUUAAUAUACGCUAUUGGAGCUGGAAUUACUGUGGCUGCUGGCACCAGACUUGCCCUCCAA